AAAAAAUUAGUUAAAUUUAAUAACAUUAGUUUGUCAAACUAAAAUUAUAAAUAUUUAUAUUUUUUA
RNAcentral lists this transfer RNA (66 nucleotides) under Phalacridae sp. KM-2017. RNAcentral's name for it is "tRNA-Asp". The record is from RNAcentral. Lineage: Eukaryota; Metazoa; Arthropoda; Insecta; Coleoptera; Phalacridae.